This 578-nucleotide unclassified non-coding RNA is filed under the name Octopus sinensis (East Asian common octopus). RNAcentral's name for it is "uncharacterized LOC118766836, transcript variant X3". The record is from RNAcentral. Lineage: Eukaryota; Metazoa; Mollusca; Cephalopoda; Octopoda; Octopodidae.
AUUGGUCAGAUGCAGGAGAGUCACCUGAACACUACCCAGACCCACCAUUGCACCCUAAAACGUUAGUGGUCACUCUAUGGAUGCUCAUUGACAACAGCAGGAGAACAGGACAGUGGUCAGAUGCAGGAGAGUCACCUGAACACUACCCAGACCCACCAUUGCACCCUAAAACGUUAGUGGUCACUCUAUGGAUGCUCUUUGACAACAGCAGGAGAACAGGACAGUGGUCAGAUGCAGGAGAGUCACCUGAACACUACCCAGACCCACCAUUGCACCCUAAAACGUUAGUGGUCACUCUAUGGAUGCUCAUUGACAACAGCAGGAGAACAGGACAGUGGUCAGAUGCAGGAGAGUCACCUGAACACUACCCAGACCCACCAUUGCACCCUAAAACGUUAGUGGUCACUCUAUGGAUGCUCUUUGACAACAGCAGGAGAACAGGACAGUGGUCAGAUGCAGGAGAGUCACCUGAACACUACCUAAACCCACCAUUGUACCCUAAAAGGUUAGUGGUCACUCUAUGGAUGCUCAUUGACAACAGCAGGAGAACAGGACAGUGGUCAGAUGCAGGAGAGUCA